This 323-nucleotide long non-coding RNA is filed under the name Physcomitrium patens. RNAcentral describes it as "long non-coding RNA (PPAT_LNC014602)". The record is from RNAcentral. Lineage: Eukaryota; Viridiplantae; Streptophyta; Bryopsida; Funariales; Funariaceae.
AAUAAUUUUUAAUCAAGUCCUACUUUAAUCUUAAUUAAAAUCUUAAUAGACCUUAAUUAAAUCCUAGUUCAAAUCCUAAAUAAAUCAUAAAUCAAACCUUAGACAAAUCCUAAAUUUUAAACCAAAUCCUAAACAAAUUCUAAAUACUAAAUCAAAUCUUAGAAAAAUUCUAAAUCCUAAACUAAACCUUAGAUAAAUCCUAAAUUCUAAACCAAAUCAUAAAUAAAUCUUAAAUCCUAAAUCAAAUUCUAAAAAAAUCCUAAAUCCUAAAUCCUAAAUCAAAUCUUUAUUAAAACCUAAUUAAUUCAAAUCAAUCCUAAAGU